This 204-nucleotide ribosomal RNA is filed under the name uncultured fungus. RNAcentral's name for it is "partial 28S ribosomal RNA". It matches the Rfam family "Eukaryotic large subunit ribosomal RNA", at positions 1 to 197 of the family's 3401-position model. The record is from RNAcentral. Lineage: Eukaryota; Fungi.
UUGAUCUCAAAUCAGGUAGGACUACCCGCUGAACUUAUUUUUCUUAUCAAUAAGCGGAGGAAAAGAAACUAACAAGGAUUCCCCUAGUAACUGCGAGUGAAGCGGGAAGAGCUCAAAUUUAAAAUCUGGCGUGCCUCUGGCCGUCCGAGUUGUAGUCUGGAGAAGCGUCUUCCGUGUGGGACCGUGUACAAGUCUCUUGGAACA